GAUGAACGCUGGCGGCGUGCCUAAUACAUGCAAGUCGAGCGAACGGACGAGAAGCUUGCUUCUCUGAUGUUAGCGGCGGACGGGUGAGUAACACGUGGAUAACCUACCUAUAAGACUGGGAUAACUUCGGGAAACCGUAGCUAAUACCGGAUAAUAUUUUGAACCGCAUGGUUCAAAAGUGAAAGACGGUCUUGCUGUCACUUAUAGAUGGAUCCGCGCUGCAUUAGCUAGUUGGUAAGGUAACGGCUUACCAAGGCAACGAUGCAUAGCCGACCUGGGAGAGUGAUCGGCCACACUGGAACUGAGACACGGUCCAGACUCCUACGGGAGGCAGCAGUAGGGAAUCUUCCGCAAUGGGCGAAAGCCUGACGGAGCAACGCCGCGUGAGUGAUGAAGGUCUUCGGAUCGUAAAACUCUGUUAUUAGGGAAGAACAUAUGUGUAAGUAACUGUGCACAUCUUGACGGUACCUAAUCAGAAAGCCACGGCUAACUACGUG
Molecule: ribosomal RNA, 497 nt
Filed under: uncultured bacterium
Lineage: Bacteria
Description: partial 16S ribosomal RNA
Rfam family: Bacterial small subunit ribosomal RNA
Source: RNAcentral